RNAcentral lists this ribosomal RNA (271 nucleotides) under uncultured prokaryote. RNAcentral's name for it is "partial 16S ribosomal RNA". It matches the Rfam family "Bacterial small subunit ribosomal RNA", at positions 524 to 794 of the family's 1533-position model. The record is from RNAcentral.
UACGUAGGUGGCGAGCGUUGUCCGGAUUUACUGGGCGUAAAGGGAGCGUAGGCGGACUUUUAAGUGAGAGGUGAAAUACCCGGGCUCAACUUGGGUGCUGCAUUUCAAACUGGAAGUCUAGGGUGCAGGAGAGGAGAAUGGAAUUCCUAGUGUAGCGGUGAAAUGCGUAGAGAUUAGGAAGAACACCAGUGGCGAAGGCGAUUCUCUGGACUGUAACUGACGCUGAGGCUCGAAAGCGUGGGGAGCAAACAGGAUUAGAUACCCUGGUAGU